RNAcentral lists this transfer RNA (72 nucleotides) under Anaerolineaceae bacterium. RNAcentral's name for it is "tRNA-Cys". It matches the Rfam family "tRNA". From Rfam's summary of the family: Transfer RNA (tRNA) molecules are approximately 80 nucleotides in length. Their secondary structure includes four short double-helical elements and three loops (D, anti-codon, and T loops). The record is from RNAcentral. RNAcentral also lists the same sequence under 1 other name. Lineage: Bacteria; Bacillati; Chloroflexota; Anaerolineae; Anaerolineales; Anaerolineaceae.
GGCGACGUGGCCAAGAGGCUAAGGCAAGGGUCUGCAAAACCCUGAUCAUGGGUUCAAAUCCCAUCGUCGCCU